GGCGCCCGCCUUGCUCCGCGGCCCCCGUGCCGGCUCCUGCUUCCCAGGCUGCUGCGGGGACGCAGAAUCCUCUGGUGCUCAUGCAAAGGUGGCCCGGCUCCUGCGAGGCUGGUCUGCUGAGUCGCCGGGCUCCACGGCCGCCCGCGCUCGCUCCCGGAGCCAAAGCUCAGCCGGAGUCCCGGGGAGAUCCGAGCCGCGGCUGAAGGAGCUAGCCCGGCCUGGCGGGAGGCGGUGGGGUCGACUGCUCACUGCGAAGCUACCUCCAUGCGACCCUCCCCUUCCCGCCCCUUUCCCUCCCCCCACCAGACCGGUCUGGGUUCUUGGGCGCUUAUUGUUUUAAUGAUUUUUUGGUGGUGGUUAUUGUUUUGGUCCUUGAACGUGAUUUUAGCGGCAAGUAACGCGUCCUGCUCCUCUUGGGCUCUCUCCGAAGGUUUUCAGAGAGACUUCAGUGCAUCCAUUUUCCCAGCUCCUCUCCUUUCGGGGGAAGGAUCUAGGGCCCUGUAGGCGCCUUGGGACGCGAAGUCGGCGGGUCGCGCUCUCGGAAGGGUCUGCGCAGCGGCGGCUGAGGGGGCUCCCGGGUGGCGGCGGCGGCGGCGUUCCGGGGCUGGACUCCGUGAGGGGAGCAAGCGAUUUUUCCCAGCAAGAUCUCCAUGUACAGCUACAUCUUUAGGGCAGCUCGGGUUAAUAUAUGUCGUCAGAGGCUCCGCACGCCAAUCCGGGGGCGGCGGGGGCGGCGCCUCGCGCUCUCCGCAAUAAAACUUUUUUGAUGUUCAAGUUGCUAAUUGCCCAGGUCCUCUUUCGGGAUUGGCUGCCCCUUCAUAACCAGAAGAUAAUUAAACCGGGGCGGGGGGGGGGGGUAGGGUUAAAAAAACUUUUUUAUCAGUUAGAGGUUAAUGCAAGUGUUUAACAGAUGCUUCACUAUUAAAAAUUUCCCCCCAGUCUCAAAUAUUGAGGUAUCUCCUGCCAGGUACAGUAUCACUCCUCUUUCUUUUCUGGUUAAAAAAAAUUAAUUGCUUUUCGAAGUGUUUUCCAGGUAACCAAGGCAAGAGAAUGAGCAAGCAGUCUCGUGUGAGGCCCGCGAACAGAGUCGGUAGGCGGCGGGGCCCCCACAAAGGGGCGCCUGGGCAGCGGGCUGUCUCCUCGCCAAGGCCCGCCCGGGGCAGGCGGCGAAGGCUGCUGCUUUGACCUGGGCACAAGCUGGAGACGCAGCUCUCCACGGCUAUUUACUGACCCAGGCCGGGACGGCCUGGGGUGGCUGCUGUGCUGGGACCUCCGCCCCAGCGGAGACUUUGGGCGAUUUCAAAGCGCCGGUACUUUGGUUGCCAGAAUCAGUGAUGUGGCCGAUAUCGGUGUUCCCAUGGUUUAACUAGCCUGUUUGCCGCCGGAAGACCAGCCAGACGGCGAUGGAGCCACCUGGCCAGACGCACCCUCCGCGCGGCGGAGGGCACCGCCCGCCUCGCCUCCAGCGUCGCAUGGGACCUCAGCCCCCCAGGCCGGUGGGCGCCGGGCACCGAGGCGCGCGCGGGCCUGCGGGCGGAGGCGCGGCGGGGGCGGCCACCCCGAUCCAGGCCGCCGGCGCCCAGUCACGCGGUGCCGCCCCUCCGUGCCGGGGACGUUCUCCUUUAGAUCGCCGCGCCCCUCUCCAUUCUCGCUCCCCGUCACUCAGGCCGGGGGAGGUCACCCCUCCGGGGCGGGAUGGAAGCCAGCUUCCCCCGCUCCUCUCCGAGGCCCUUUCGCCCGAGGCGGGCGGGAAGGGGUUAAGCGCGCCCCCCGCGCCCCCAGCGCAGGCCGAAGGCCCCGGCUUUCCUCCUGAGGUCUCAUUAGGGAAACCCUCACCGCUAUUUUCAACAUUUCCUCAAUCAAGUGCCUUUAAAUAGAGCUGUACACACAAAUUGGCGGCAAAAGCGUAGAUCUUGUCACGAUUGAGACCAAUCCAAUAUUUCAGCCUUGUUUGCUUUGCAAUUACGGGUUGGCUUGUGGCGGCGGUGCCACCGGGGCAAAUCCGCAGCCGCCCGCUUUCUCCUCGGCACCCUGGGAGGCUGGAGGAAGCGACCCGAGGAGCCACUGAAGC
This is a long non-coding RNA of Loxodonta africana (African savanna elephant), 2071 nucleotides long. RefSeq lists it as uncharacterized. The transcript is spliced from 3 exons. The record is from RefSeq and is a predicted model, not a curated record. NCBI's taxonomy places the organism in Eukaryota, Metazoa, Chordata, Mammalia, Proboscidea, Elephantidae.